This 72-nucleotide transfer RNA is filed under the name Bos taurus (domestic cattle). It matches the Rfam family "tRNA". From Rfam's summary of the family: Transfer RNA (tRNA) molecules are approximately 80 nucleotides in length. Their secondary structure includes four short double-helical elements and three loops (D, anti-codon, and T loops). Further hydrogen bonds mediate the characteristic L-shaped molecular structure. tRNAs have two regions of fundamental functional importance: the anti-codon, which is responsible for specific mRNA codon recognition, and the 3' end, to which the tRNAs corresponding amino acid is attached (by aminoacyl-tRNA synthetases). tRNAs cope with the degeneracy of the genetic code in two manners: having more than one tRNA (with a specific anti-codon) for a particular amino acid; and 'wobble' base-pairing, i.e. permitting non-standard base-pairing at the 3rd anti-codon position. Lineage: Eukaryota; Metazoa; Chordata; Mammalia; Artiodactyla; Bovidae. RNAcentral also lists the same sequence under 1 other name. The record is from Rfam by way of RNAcentral.
UUCCUUAUAGCUCAGUCGGUAAAGAAUCUGCCUGCAAUGCAGGAGAUUCAGGUUUGAUUCCUGGGUUGGGAA